ACAGCCCUGGGCCCGGCGGACAGGGCCCAAUGCCUGUGGGGACAGGGGAUGGCUGCUCGGCCAGUGGUCCCGACCUGGCUGCUCCCCGGGCUCUGAUGCCGCGUGAGGACGGCCUGGUGGGACCCACUCGUCUGUCUUGUAUCUGGGGUGGUGGGUUUUCCUCGCCUUCUCACAGCUCAUCGUUCCAGGGAGUGUGUGGUGCUUGACAGGGAAAGAUUAUUCUGUCGUUUAAACCACUUUUUGUCAAGUAGCUCUUUUACAGAACGUGUCCCAAGCCCCUUAGCCCUGGUUUCCGCGCCCCUUGUCUCGCCAGGAUGGGCGGGGAGCCCCAUGGAGGGAGGGCCUUGCUUGCUGUUCUGGAGAGGUUUUAGCCUCCAGUGAGGCUCAAAAGGCAGGCCCUGCAUCACUGGGGGGACCACAGCUCUCAGUGGAGCCUGCAGCGUGGUGGGGUCCAGUGCGGUUGCUGUGAGCCUUGCCAGACCGGUGGCCAUCACGGGCCCUGCAGGAGGGCCACACACCCGCUGAGACCAGAGCAAACGGGCAGCCUCCUCCCGCCGAGCUGCCACCAUGCUGGCCACUACCCCCCGGACCCUACCCUGCGGUGAGGUCCGCUCUCAGACCCUCAGCUUUCCUCUGGGGCUCCUUUCGGGAUUCAGUUCAGGUGGGGCCUGCCGUGAAGCCUGUUUUACAGGCAGGUGGAUGGUCCCUGGGGCGCCCCCAUCUCUCCCAGGCUUCCAGAAGCACUGGGUGCCAUCUGCAUCUGCAUGAGCUUUUCUGCCUAUGCCUGGCGUCAGUCAGCACCUGGAGAAGCGUCAGGACCUUAGCAUAGCUGCCUGGCCCCAGUAACUGAAUAGGUUCUUAGGAUGUGAUGAAAAUUAGUGCUGAGUGAGUGUAGCACGAGCUUAGGAACAGCCGAACACCUGAGGAGCUCCAGCCACGCUGAGGAGGGGCUCUGGUGCCACACGGGUGAGCAGACACCACGUCCAAUGGUUUGCCGGUGAAAAAGAAAAUGUAAAAAAGUGCAGAAAAAGUAAGAGUCAUAUCCAGCAGAAUCUGGCACAACAGGCGGGCCUGGAAGCCCAAAGCCUCUGUCUCCGAGGUCUGGAGAUGACUGUCCCCUGACCAGAGGCUCUGGGACAGCCAGAGAGCACCUGCGAAAGGAGCUCUGCCCCCACCACCAGGCACCCAGCUCCCAGAGGCCCUGGCCACCACAGGCUGAAGCUCUCCGCCGUCUGGAGACUGGGGCAGCCAGGUAGCACUGACGGGGAGGCCCCCACACGCCUCUUCCCUCCUGCACACCUGACCCGCCCCUUCCCCAGUGAGAGACAAGGAUCAGCGCCACGGCACCAGCUGAGCAAGCCGCCCAGUGGCACUGCAAAGGCUCUCUUGCACCCACGUGGCCUUUUACCUGUUAAAAGCUUUAAAUGAAACUCAGUGUCCUGACAUAAUGGACAAAAUGUCAGGGCACAAAUGAAACCACUGACAGUACCAAGAGCCAGGAAGACUGCAACUUCAGUGAGGAAAAACAACGGACAUCAAUCAUGAGACGAAUUAGAUGUUGGAAUUAAAGCAUCCGUGCUAAAAAGGCUUAAAAACCUGAUUAUAAGUUGUCUUGACACAAAUGAAAUAAAAAUUGCAGCAAAGAUGAGGGGAUUACAGAACUAAAAAAUUCAGCAGUGGAAGAUGCUAAAACUUUGUGGAUGCCGUCAAUAGUAGACUGGAAAUGCCAAAGGAGAGAGUCGGGAAACCUGGAAAGAUGCAUCGAAUUUACUCAACCUGAACAGCAGAGAAGAAAAUGUAAAAGCCUGGGUUAGACAAAGUCUCGGGCGCUUACGGGGCAAUAACAACACCCAGCAUCCCUGUCAUCUCGCUCCCAAAAGGAGGAGAAAGAGAGUGGGGCUGAAAGAGUUUUUGGAGAAUAAGAUGGAAAGCUAUCUGGAUUUGGUGCAAGACAAAACCUUGAAAGAUUCCCAAGAAGGAGAAUGAAUUCCAAAUAGGACACAUACAAAGAAAUCCAUGCCAAGACACAUCAUAAAUCAAACUUUUGAGAAAAAAAAAAAUUGAAGGCCGUGAGAAACAGUGCAUCCAUCACCUAUGGGGACCCCAGUUUAAAUGACCAAGAGUUUCUCCUCAAAGCCACAGAGGCCGAAGGGAAGUGAUGUGGUUCUCCUCCAACACCGGGGAAAAUUGUCCGCCACAUAUUCUAUAUCCAGCCAAACUGUCCUUCAGGAUUAAAAGUGAAAUCAGCAUCUCAGAGGAAGUAAAACUAAAGGAAUUUCUUACGAGCAGACCUUGUAAAGACUAAGUUUUUCAAACAGAAAGGAAAUGAUAAAAAGGAAUUUUCUUAAAUCAUACAUGAUGAUAAAGUAAUAAGUUGUACCAUCUGAUACUCAAGACAAUGAUAUGGAAAGUAGAGGAGGUAAAGGGAACUCAAUGCAGAUAAGGCUUCCUAACUUCAUUUGAAGUGGCAAAAUAUUGACGUCAGUGACUUAAUGCUUCACAUGUCUACGGCAAUACUUGCAGCAUCGGCUAAGGAGAGAAACACGCUAAGAAAGGAAGAAAGAAAACAGUACGAAUAGGAGUGCUCUCUGCCCGGAUGGCAGAGACUUCUGAAAACUUUAGCCCCCGUAAAUGCACCCAGGUAACUGUCAAAGGGAGUUCCCUUGUGCUGCAGUGGGUUAAGGACCAGCGUUGUCACUGCAGCAGCUUGACAUUUUCACCACUGUGGCCUGUGUUCAAUCCCUGGUCUGAGAACUGAGAUCCCACAUCAA
RNAcentral lists this long non-coding RNA (2771 nucleotides) under Sus scrofa (pig). Its description in RNAcentral is "lncRNA (ENSSSCG00045011783.1, ENSSSCG00160026374.1)". The record is from RNAcentral. Lineage: Eukaryota; Metazoa; Chordata; Mammalia; Artiodactyla; Suidae.